Molecule: ribosomal RNA, 376 nt
Filed under: Wolbachia endosymbiont of Cimex hemipterus
Lineage: Bacteria; Pseudomonadati; Pseudomonadota; Alphaproteobacteria; Rickettsiales; Anaplasmataceae
Description: bacterial SSU rRNA
Rfam family: Bacterial small subunit ribosomal RNA
Source: RNAcentral
UGGCCGGAUUUCACACAGGUGUUGCAUGGCUGUCGUCAGCUCGUGUCGUGAGAUGUUGGGUUAAGUCCCGCAACGAGCGUAACCCUCAUCCUUAGUUACCAUCAGAUAAUGCUGGGGACUUUAAGGAAACUGCUAGUGAUAAACUGGAGGAAGGUGGGGAUGAUGUCAAGUCAUCAUGGCCCUUAUGGAGUGGGCUACACACGUGCUACAAUGGUGGCUACAAUGGGCUGCAAAGUCGCGAGGCUGAGCUAAUCUCUUAAAAGCCAUCUCAGUUCGGAUUGUACUCUGCAACUCGAGUGCAUGAAGUUGGAAUCGCUAGUAAUCGUGGAUCAGCAUGCCACGGUGAAUACGUUCUCGGGUCUUGUACACACUGCCC